GUUUAUACGUGCAAUUUAUUUUCUGCCCCCAGUCCCAUCAAGGCCAGCCUCUCCCUUGAGUAGCAAAAGGCUGAGGAACAACACUUCAAUCUCUCAUAACCCUGAGCUGCGCCUAAGAUCAAAAGCUACAGAAAGGGACCGAAGUCAGUAACCUUAUUAAAGUCUGUGAAACAAAUGUCAGGAAACACUAGCUAGCGGGGAUCUGCCAGAGACUCUUCCCAAAGCACACCAGGACCCAGCUCCAGAGAUGGCAAAGAGCCAAGACUGCCAUCCCUCCCCCAUUUGCUGUGGGCGGAUCUUUCACACAGGAGCCAAUAGCCUCUCUGAAAAGUGGGUGUGUCUGCCCAACAACCUAAUCUGGGGAUCACAGGACUGACCUAGCUCUUGCACCACGUCAAAUAAACAUCCUUUGCCCACUAAAACAACUCUAAAAUGCAACAUUGUAACUAAAGUGGUUUGUCAAAGGAUACACCUGUAACCCUAGCUCUGGAGAGCUAGAGGCAGGAGGAUUGAUAAUUUGAGGCCAACCUGGGCUACACAGUAACAUUCUGUCUCAAAAAGGAAAAAAGAAAAGAUGAAAGAAGUAAUUACAUCAGAAACUGUAAUUAACAGAGAUUACGAGUACUCGAGGCUUCUGAAAUAGCCCUGGAAAAACUGAGCAUGCUGGGGUAGCAAAAGCAGAUGUUGUGUGUGAAUUAUCUAAGAUGGCGAACUGUGAUCUGGUGAACCAGCAGCAGCAGCUGCUCAUUCAUGGAGGCCUUAAAGGUGAAGCCUUGGCAACCUUGUCUGCUGAGUUCUGGAGCAAGGGGAGUUAAGGGUUCAGCUUUCCAGGGAAACUUAAACCUUUCCUUUCACUAAGUUCCCCCCAGAGAACCAUUCUAAUUACAGAAAUCUGACACUAACACCUCUGUAGCUGUAGGUGACACGCACAGAGUUGAGACCUUUCGGGAAGAUAAUAUAUGGCUAUAUAUCAAACGAGCAAUUUUUUGAAACCUCUGGCCCUUUUCUAAAUUCUUUCUUCAUAUCUAUCCCAAAAGAAAAGGACCAGGGGAGAGGAUAGAGAUGUCUAAUGGGUCAACAACAUGAUACUGAUUGCACAAAUCAGGGUGAAAUCACAUUAAGGACUCCUAUGGGUCAUUAAAAGCCUUAAAAAUUGCAAUGACAUAAAUAAGUACUUACUGACUUUAGUCACUUUUGUUUUAAAUAAAUACAAAGCUGGAGCCUUUGAACAUGGAUAGCUAGGAGCAAGAGAAUGUUUAAACGAAAAGCAAUGGGAAUACUGACAUAGUCAGAAGAAAAAAACCUAAAAGGAAGUAAACAUCUCUGAAGCAUGUGCUUUUCAAACUGUCUACAAUAUAUACCAAGUUUAUUGAUAAAGAAUGCUACAAUCACUAAAAAAUUUAUUGCAUGGGGUUAGACCAAUGGCUCCACAGUUAAGAGCACUGGCUGCUCUCCCAGAGGACCUGGGUUCAGUUUCCAGCACCCACGUCUCAGCUCACAACUGUCUCUCACUCCAGCUGCAAGGGACCUGACAAGUUCACACAGACGUGCAUGCAGGCAAGUUCCUUUAGAGGAAGAGAGGUUCAAUUAAAAUAUGAGCAAUUCUCAUCCUUAAACAGUCUAAGAUUUGUCAGUCACGGAUGAUAGGAAUAAGAUAUAGACGGGGAAAUUGUAUAGAGCAGAGAUGGCGAUGGGGUCAGAAUGACAGCAUCUUCUGUGCGUACGAGCAGAAUUGAACAUGGAAAAGAUACAAGGAACCAGUGCUUCAGAGAGAGAGAAAGAGAGGUUUUCAGCACACAAUAAAGAUGGAAUGCUCAUGACGGACCCAUGAAAAAGGUCUCCACCAGAAUACUUGCUUCCCAGGCUGGAAUUCUCCAAGACAAGAGUCAACUAGCAAACAUCAAUGAAGCUACCACAGGAGGGACAAUGUGAGGGAUAGUGUGGAUUCCAAGGCCCUUAAACUUUGGUUCUACUCUGAAGGAAGGGGUUAUGAUGGAGGGUAAACGAUCCUUUGUGACCUGGGUUUCUAUCGCUACAGUGGGUAACUACCAGACCAGAACCCAAACCUCAAGAACUUGAGAGAUCCUGUAAGGACCAAAGGAUGACUUGACCAUUUGACCUUGAGCUCCACCACAGUCCUGGUCCGCCAUGCAUCUUGGGGACUUCACCAUACACUUUUCUUUAGAGGUCUGUGAUUCCAUUCAUGGCUCCUUUUCCCUCCAAAAGAAAGCCUGGGCACCUAGUUCUUUGUGCUAACUCCCCACAUAAAGCCACCAAGCCUGUGCGAAGUGUUGACACGCUUGCUUUAGAGACAAAACAGACACGCUCACCGGAGCCUUGUCCGUGAAAAGGGAAGGUUCUGACUCAGCUUUUUCCAGGAAACACAGGUGGAGUGUUCUAGAAAGGUUGUCUGAGUUAUGGGUAAGUGGAUUAAAUAGAUAACUAAAUAAAUAAACAGCAAGAAAGGAACACACACACUCACAUGCACACACACACACGCACACACACACACACACACUUAGCAGAGGGAAGGAAGAUGGUUCACAGAAAGGGGUGAGAAACUUUUUUUAAAAAAAGAAUCAAUAUAGAUUCUCCGUCAUCACCCAAAAUCCAUUGCUUUCCAGUGAACUAAGUACACACACACCCUUCUUGCCAGGUCCUAAGGAGUCCCUGGCAAUAACUACAAUAUGUACAACCAGAAUCCACUUCUCAGACAAUCUGGAAGCUGGCAGGGAUCCUAGAGCCACACCCUCACUCAGACAGGUACGGAACUCCCACUGACAGCAUGCCCCCUGACAGUAUAGGAAAAGACACGCACGCAGUGUUCUUGGAACCAGUCUACUCAUCUGUGGUGCGGCUAUCUAUUCAGUAGUUAAGAAGAUGGCGUACCUGGGACAAGUGGCCUUGUUCCACACCCUGACUCCCACCAUCGUGGAAGCAGGGUCUUCAUCAGAAGAAUGAUGGGACAUUUUUUUUUCUUUUCUUUCUUUUAGGAGCUGGGGGCCGAACCCAGGGCCUCAAGCGCUCUACCACUGAGCCAAAUUCCCAACCCCAUGAUGGGGCAUCUUAAAUGGACGAGGCAACACCCGGCACAGUCCUCUGGGGUUAUUAUUUUGUGCCCACUGAUGUCCUUUUUCUCAGUGUCAGGGAGGCGUUUUCCCUCACAGCACAUAAUCACAAUGCCACUUCAGCACCAAUGAAUGAAUCCAUGACUGAAUCAAUAUAAGUAUGACCUCUCAGAAGAGAGAGAGAGAGAGACAGAGAGAGAGAGAGAGAGGGAGGGAGAGAGAGAGAGAGGGAGAGAGAGAGAGGGAGGGAGGGAGGGAGAGAGAGGGAGAGAGGGAGAGAGAGGGAGGGAGGGAGAGAGAGAGAGAGAGGGAGAGAGGGAGAGAGGGAGAGACGGAGGGAGAGAGAGGGGGGGAGGGAGGGAGAGAGAGAGAGGGAGAGAGAGGGAGAGACAGAGGGAGAGAGAGAGGGAGAGAGGGAGAGAGAGGGAGAGACAGAGGGAGAGAGAGAGAGAGAGAGAGAGGGAGGGAGGGAGAGGGAGAGAGAGAGAGAGAGAGAGAGAGAGGUUCUGUCCCAAACCUGCCUCAUUCAGUGAAGGGCGUUCUCAGGCCACCCACCCUUUCCCUCUAGUCUGGCGGUGGUUUCCACUCUGGUUCCGUCCAAAUCUGUCUAUGUCCACCAUUCCCAGGGUCUGCAGUGUAACACAAACACCAAACCCUCUUUAGUCCCUUACAGAUUAGAUGUCACAGUACCAGGGUCUCUACCCUAUCAGGGUCUCUCUGUUUCUUUCAACACCGAUUCUUUCCUGCAGGACCUACACACAUUUCCCCCUUUUGCUCGUGUAGUCUACUCUCACUGCCACCUUCCACCAAUGCUCCAAAUCCCAAAUGCUUUUCGCUGCCGUGGACUCAUGAAAAAAUGUGCAGUCAUUUGGUUUAUCGUGGGAUGUUCCCAUUCGUGUAUACCAUGGACAGGCUUAGCCGAGACCCUCAAGAACUCAUUCUUUCGAUUGCUGUUCCUUUAAUGCACGCCUACACAGAUGAGAACAUUUAGAAUCUUCUAGACCAGCUAUUUUGAAAUACCCAAUUAAACCACGUCAGUCGUCAUCAGCCUACCCGUGCCACAGAACGUGGGAAGUCACCCCUCCUAUUCAACUGUAUCUUUUAUCCGUCUUCUAAUCAUUCUCAAAUGUCCAAGCAUGUGAUGCCCAGGUCCCUGCAAUCUUCCCAGGCACAGGUAAGGGCACCAUAAUUUUCGCUAGCCUUGACAUCUUUCCAUCGCACAGCCCCCUAGCAUUUAGAACUUCCCAGAAACAUGGAAACAUUUAAAAAAAAAAGUUGGAAGCCUUCACUUGCAUUUAAUCACAUAGAGGAUGCUCUCGAGGUCAUUUUUAAAUUAACAAUGAGUAGUUCCUCCUGCACCCUGAGAAACAAAAACUCCUGGUUCCUUGGACCCUGGGUCCCUUGGAAAUCCUCAGCACUGAGGGGAGGCACUGUCUGAAGUUGUGAUGCCUAGGCUGUAUGUUGCAAGGUUUCCACUUGCCAUCAGCAUGUAAGCAAUUAAAGGAAGGAAGGAAGGAAGGAAGGAAGGAAGGAUGGAAAGAAGGAGGGAGGGAAGAAAAAAGAAAAGAAAAGAAAGAAGAAAUACGGAAAGAAGAAAGGAGGGAGGAAGGAGGGAGGGUUGAGAGAGGGAGGGAGGAAAAAGGGAAGGAAGGAGGGAAGAAAGAAAAAAGAAAGGAAGGAAGGAAGGAAGGACGAAUGAGUGAACCAGCACUGUCUGUCAGGUUCUCUUCGUUGGGAUUCAGUUUGCUUUUCUAUUCCACCCUUCGAUGCUCAUUACACAACAAAACACCCAAGACAGAGAAACAGGAAAAAUCCACCCCAAGGUAAAACUCCACACUGACUUCAAAAGGAAACCCCCAAGAUAAAAUUGUAAAAACUUUUGAAGCCUUUUUGCUGGGUUGUAAGACACAUGCUAUACCAAAAUACCACCAUUUUGGGUCUAGAAUCUUUUUUUUUCUGGGUACAAAGGAAGUUAAAUGAAGGCCUUUGUAUAGCAAAGGCACCUGGGGAGGGACCCAGAGAACAAGCCCUAACCCCACAGCUUACAAGCAGCUGGAGGUAGUCUGCCAAGCCUUGCACAAGACACUACCACCCAGCACAGCCCUGCAGCUACUCCUCCAACUUGUGAGAGGAAAAAAGAAUUAGAAUAUAAACUUCAGAAAUGUAAGAGAAAGUAAAGACAGACACAUUAGAAAAUGGAGAGAGGGAGAGGGAGAGGGAGAGGGAGAGAGAGAGAGAGAGAGAGAGAGAGAGAGAGAGAGAGAAUGAAAUGUGGAGAGAGAAUGGAUAUCUUAGAAUGUGCUCUUUGGCAUUUUGAGACUUCAUGAAGUCAAUGGGUUGAAUAGUAGGCAGAGUGAGUAUGGGGAAGAGAGAGGCAAAGGCUCCCUCACAGGAAGAGUCAUUGUUCAGCCAAUCAAGACUAAGGAAUGAUCUGAUCUCUCCUCAGAACCCAGACUGGGAAUCACCUAGUUAUAAUAAAAAAAGAUGCCAUCUAUUGCUUAAAGGCACUAAAGUGUAUGGGGUAUUUUGUGGGAAAGGGUUAACACGAGUAUCACUGGGUAGGGCCAGGUUGUGACUCACUAGCAGAAUGUUUGCUUAGCCUGAGCGAAGCCCCAGGUUCUAACCUCAGCGCCAGGAAAUGAGCCAAUGAAUGAAUGAAUGAAUGAAUGAGUGAAUGAAUGAAUGAGUGAGUGAGUGAGUGAAUGAAUGAAUGAACACACUGUUAGGUAAACUAAAUCCUCAUUAACAUCCAUUCCACAAUCAAGUCUUUAAAGGUGUGUGUGUGUGUGUGUGUGUGUGUGUGUGUGUGUGUGUGUGUGUGUGAGAGCAAUGUGUGUACAGGUGUCUGUCAAGGCCAGAAGUGGGUAUCAGACAUCUUGGAUCUAGAAGUUACAGGCAGUUUGGAGCCACCCCAGGUGGAUGCUGUCAUGCCAACUCUGGUCCUCUGGCCUCGGUCAAUGAAUGCUUUUAACUGCUGAGCCAGUUCUCCCGUCUCCCACACAUCAACUUCAUAUGGCAUGGAAACCUUCUAACCCAUCGGAAAAAAAAAUCGCAACCAGAUUACUAUGUUCAGGAAAAGACCUUAUAUUCCCAAAGGAAGGAGUCUCUCUCAAGAGGUGGCCCUGGAGCUAGCUACUUUCUUAGCAAUCUGUGACAGUCACAACCUCAGUGACUUGACAACAAACCCCAAACACUUCUCUGUUUUCACAGUGAAACAUCAGAAGUAAUUUAGAAACAGCUCAGCCCACAACGUUACAAUAACCCAAAUUUCGGAGAAAUUAGGAAACAGCCCGUAGAAGUCCGUUUUGAAAUACGUCUGGUGAUGUGCUGUGAUAUGAUGACACUUUCUUUAACAGAAUGAAAAACAAGGCGUGAGGAAGAGCCCCUAGUGCUGGGAAAGACAUCCGAUCCACGGCCAAAUCCGAACAUGAACCAGACCCCUCUGACCACUGUACAGAAACCCAAAUCAUGCAUGAGCCACACUUCACGAAGCUCCCUGGGCCAACUCAGACACUGUUCCCACUGUGGGAUGGGCGGUUACUCACAGCUUUUUUCCUUUCUCCUCAGCUCCCAUGGCCUACCUUCCUCCACACGCCUAUAACCUCUACCAGAUGGCUGGUCUCCAGGUCCCAGAGGACACAAGCAGUCAGCAAACAAGAGAGUGUGAUCACUACCAGUCCUGGCUUCUGUGGACGGAAGUGCCCACCUCAAAGGUGGCCGUGAUGUAUGUGCCUUCUAGUAGGGGAAAGGCACUUCAUUCUCCCCUCUGAGCCCCUUGCCAAGGUCCAUGCUUCUUCCUCAAAGGCUAUUUUCCCACCAUCUAUAGACUGUCAGUUUCCACACAAGAAAAUGAGGCUCUGAUGAUCCCAGUUGUGACAACUGUUCUCAUGGGCUUUAUAAAGGACAGGAGGGGACAGUCGUGACAGCUCACACUUGUGUGAGGGUCUUGCUCAGCACUGCUGUGGCCCAUGGUCUUGUGCCACCACAGGGGGCUGGCUGAACACACUCUGUUAGAGUUUGUAGGGGUUACCGCCCUUCUCUGAGGUAAAUAAAAUGUGGGAAACUUCCAGGGUAGAGAAACUUCAAAGCCUGGGCAGAUGUUGGGAAAUCCACCGGCAUAGGAAACAGUGAGCUUCGAAUCACACUCUAGGACCCUGUCACUGUGUGUGUUCAGAUGUUUUCAACAUGGCAUUUAAUUUUCCAGAGGCACUUGAAUUGACACCCUCAGCCAACCUCACGUGGCAGGCUGUCACCGGCCCCGAUGGUGAGCCAGCUUACAGUAAACAAAACAGUCAGCCACGAGCAAGCGUCACUCUGGACUUUCACAGAAGAGAAUGUACUAGAAGGCCCCGGAAAGGAAGCAAAGCGCUGGAUCCAGCCUUUGCUCGAGCUGCUACCUCGGUGUGUGACGUUGGGCAACUCGCUUAAGACCUCUCUGGGCCUGGCUCACUCACUCUCCUCUUCUGAAAUCGGAUUGGGCCUAAGAUGAUCUAAGCUAUCGACUCCAGCCCUGGGGUCCCGACAUCCCAAGAGCGUACAUAAUUACAAGCAUCCGUUUAAUUGUGGGGUUGGAAGAGGGAAGGAACUUCUAGCAGAUGUCAGCCUUCUUCCUACAUGCCUUACUUAUACCAUGAGAGGUUAAGACAUUUCCACUCAUCAUGGUUCCAAACGUGGCUUUGCAGAAAUUAAUUAUGUUCAGAUAUACACACAUACAGCUGAGGCCUGGCUAGGUAAAUAAUAGAUAGUCAAUUACACCAAGCUACCAAGUCAGGAGGCGGCCUGAAAUGUGACAAAAUGCAUCUUAAGAUUUUCUACUUUAAAUUAUUUUGCAAUUUUUAGAGAUUCUGAGUAAUGUAGAGGCCAAACAUACUAAUGGGUAACAUUUUGUGAUAACGUCAAUAAAAAAUGCAUGAAUUAUC
Rattus norvegicus (Norway rat) is the source of this 7987-nucleotide non-coding RNA. Lineage: Eukaryota; Metazoa; Chordata; Mammalia; Rodentia; Muridae. The record is from RefSeq and is a predicted model, not a curated record.